Molecule: ribosomal RNA, 496 nt
Filed under: uncultured bacterium
Lineage: Bacteria
Description: partial 16S ribosomal RNA
Rfam family: Bacterial small subunit ribosomal RNA
Source: RNAcentral
GGAUGAACGCUGGCGGCGUGCCUAAUACAUGCAAGUAGAACGCUGAAGGAGGAGCUUGCUCUUCUGGAUGAGUUGCGAACGGGUGAGUAACGCGUAGUUAACCUGCCUGGUAGCGGGGGAUAACUAUUGGAAACGAUAGCUAAUACCGCAUGACAACAGUUAUUGCAUGAUAACUGUUUAAAAGGGGCAACUGCUCCACUACCAGAUGGACCUGCGUUGUAUUAGCUAGUUGGUGGGGUAACGGCUCACCAAGGCGACGAUACAUAGCCGACCUGAGAGGGGGGUUGGCCGGCCUGGGACGGAGACACGGCCCAGACGCCUACGGGAGGCAGCAGGAGGGAAUCUUCGGCAAUGGACGGAAGUCUGACCGAGCAACGCCGCGGGAGGGAAGAAGGGUGUCGGAUCGGAAAGCUCUGUUGUAAGAGAAGAACGAGUGUGAGAGUGGAAAGUUCACACUGUGACGGUAGCUUACCAGAAAGGGACGGCUAACUACGUG